RNAcentral lists this non-coding RNA (21 nucleotides) under Arabidopsis thaliana (thale cress). The record is from RNAcentral. Lineage: Eukaryota; Viridiplantae; Streptophyta; Magnoliopsida; Brassicales; Brassicaceae.
UAAGGACGAUGCUAAGCCUCC